Molecule: long non-coding RNA, 1717 nt
Organism: Orcinus orca (killer whale)
Lineage: Eukaryota; Metazoa; Chordata; Mammalia; Artiodactyla; Delphinidae
Exons: 3
Source: RefSeq, a predicted model, not a curated record
GAAAAUGAAUACUAUACUCCCUAUUGCCAUUGUCUCCUGUUGCCUGAACCCUGAGUCAAUCUCCUCUGGGUUUGAGCACACACACUCCCAGAACUGAGGUCACUCUCAAGACCUAAGUCUCCCUCUAGGGUCUCAAAUCUAGAGCCCCUGAACUUUGAGUCUCAAAUUCAACGAACCCUACACCUGAUCCCUAAAUAUAAGACUUUCCUUAAUCAUGAAAUGAAGCUGGAGCCUGGACAAGAUGAAGCAGUUGUUUGGAGUGGCAGGUGAUACUUUUGAAGAAGGGACAGAAGUGCCUCAUCAUAAGUAAAGGUCCUUCAGGGACUUCCCUGGUGGCAUAGUGGUUAAGAAUCCGCCUACCAAUUCAGGGGACAUGGGUUCGAGCCCUGGUCCAGGAAGAUCCCACGUGCCGCGGAGCAACUAAGCCUGUGCGCCACAACUGCUGCGCCACAGCUACUGAAGCCCGUGUGCCUAGAGCCUGUGCUCUGCAACAAGAGAAGCCACCGCAAUGAGAAGCCCGCGCACCGCAACGAAGAGUAGCCCCUGCUUGCAGCAACUAGAGAAAGCCUGCGCGCAGCAACGAAGACCCAAUGCAGCCAAAAAUAAGUAGAUAGACAAAUUUAUUUUUUUAAAAAAAAAGGUCCUUCGGAAGCCAAGUGUUUCAGUGAAGCAUGUGUGGUGGGUAGAAUAAUGGCCCCCCCAAAGGUGUCCACCUUCUAACCCCUGGAACCUAUAAAUAUGUUACCUUACAAUAGCAUAAUGGACUGUGCAGAUGUGAUAGAUGUGAUUAAGUUAAGAAUCUUGAGGUGAGAAGAUUAUCCUGGAUCAUCUGGCUGGUCUCAAUCUAGUCUCAAAGACCCUUAUAAAAGGGAGGCAGAGGCAGAGUCAGAAAAGGACAUGUGAAAAAGAUGUGUCGGGGUGGGGGGGAGAAAAGAAAAAAGAGAAGAUGUAUGAGGUGGUUAUUGGCUGAGGAGGGCCGUGAGUCGAGGAAUGAGGACAGCCUCUAAAAGCUGGACAAGGCAAGGAAAUGAUUCUUCCCUAGAGUCUCCUAGAAGCGUGGUGCCCUUUUGACACCUUGAUUUUAGCCCAGUGAUACGCUAUUUUGUGCUUCUGAUUUCCAGAGCUGUGAGAUAGAUACGCUACAUUGUUUUACACCGCUAAGGUUGUGGUCAUUUGUUACAGCAGCAAUAGGAAACUAAUACGGCAAGACAGACUCAGGAGAGGCACAUAUGUAACAGCAGCUCAACCAUAGACAGCAACAUUCUCCUAGCAACAACAAGACAUCUCCUUAAAAGUAAACAUUCCUUCUUGAUGUGUAAAGGAUCACAAGACCCACGACAAUGGUGCUUAAAUCUGGAUUAGUGCGGAGUAGCCAGUGAGAUCUUAAUUCCCCGACCUGGGAUAGAACCCAUGCCCCCCAAACCCAUGCCCCACCCCUCUCAGUGGAAGCAUGGAGGGUUAACCACUGAACUGCCAGGGAAAUCCCACACUGUGUCUUGACUUCUAAGGGGUGGAAGUUCUCAGAGCUUUCUGAGAUGCUCUUCUGGGUUAAAAUCCUCGAAUUUACCUCAAAUAAAAUUUUGCAAUUCUUAGAUUGACUGAUAAAUUUUUCAUUGACACUUUUUUUGCUCAGUAUCCUGUGAAAUUAAUCUACAUGAUUAGGUGUAUCCGUGGUUCAUUUCUUUCUGUUGCUGAGUGGAAUUCCAUCAUAUGGGUA